AAACGUAGGUGGCGAGCGUUAUCCGGAUUUACUGGGCGUAAAGCGUGUGCAGGCGGGGCUACAAGUGGUGUAUGAAAUCGCUCGGCUAAACCGGGUGGGGUUAUGCCAGACUGUAGCUCUUGAGUGCGAGAGAGGGGCAUGGAAUUCCGGGUGUAGUGGUGAAAUGCGUAGAGAUCCGGAGGAACCCCAGAGGCGAAGGCGGUGCCCUGGCUCGCAACUGACGCUCAGACACGACAGCAUGGGGAGCGAACGGG
Molecule: ribosomal RNA, 254 nt
Filed under: uncultured bacterium
Lineage: Bacteria
Description: partial 16S ribosomal RNA
Rfam family: Bacterial small subunit ribosomal RNA
Source: RNAcentral